Molecule: transfer RNA, 83 nt
Filed under: Phycisphaerales bacterium
Lineage: Bacteria; Pseudomonadati; Planctomycetota; Phycisphaerae; Phycisphaerales
Description: tRNA-Leu
Rfam family: tRNA
About the family: Transfer RNA (tRNA) molecules are approximately 80 nucleotides in length. Their secondary structure includes four short double-helical elements and three loops (D, anti-codon, and T loops).
Source: RNAcentral
GCCGGAGUGGCGGAAUGGCAGACGCGCGGGUUUCAAAAACCCGUUCUCGCAAGGGAGUGUGGGUUCGAGUCCCACCUUCGGCA